UGUGUGUUUCUGCUAUAAUUCCUUAAAAACCUACCUUCUGCAAAGGUUUCUGGGGUGGUUUGUUAUAGAGCGUAAUUUUAGCAUAGUUACUGAUCUACUAUGUAUAUAUCAUGAUUUAUUCUACCAGCACCCUACUGAAGGCCAUUUGAGUUGACUCCACUCUUUCCCACUACCCUGACAUGUCAUAUUUUUAUUAGUAUAUCCUGAGGAUAAAUUCAUCAAAGUGGGAUUACUGAUUGAAAGACAGAAAUACAUAUGUAGUUUUGCUAAGUAAUAUCAAGUUCCCCUCCAUAGCUGUUUGCCAUUUUGUAUUCCCCAUGCCUCGCCAACAAAAUAUUGUAAACUUUUGGAAUUUCACCAAUCUGAUAAUUGAAAAUGGCAUCUCAGUAUAAUAUUAGUAUACAUUUAUCUUAUUACGAGCAAUGCAUCUUUUAAUAUAUUUUAAAGAUAUUUUGCAAUGUUUUUCUGUAAACUUCUUUUUCAUCACUUUCUUCUUUUUAUUAUUAGAUUUAUUAGUCCUUUUUCCCUGAAAUGGGUAACAUUUUUUUUUCUCAGUUGUCAUCUUUGUAUUUUUAGUACAGAUGGGGUUUCACCAUGUUGCUCAGGCUGGUCUCAAACUCCUGGGCUCAAGCAAUCCACCCGCCUCAGCCUCCCAAAGUACUGGGAUUACAGGCCUGAGCCUGGGAAGAUUUUUUAUGUAGUUAAAUUUAUCAGUUUUUUAUGCUUCUAAUUUUGGUUCAUAUUAGAAACUUAAGUUUUCUUCUAGUACUUCCAUGGUUUCAUUUUUUAGCUACCUCUCUGAAACAUUUGCAGUUUGUCCUGGUUUAU
RNAcentral lists this long non-coding RNA (828 nucleotides) under Pan troglodytes (chimpanzee). RNAcentral describes it as "long non-coding RNA NONPTRT004456". Lineage: Eukaryota; Metazoa; Chordata; Mammalia; Primates; Hominidae. The record is from RNAcentral.